GCAUCCACCUUUCUCUGCAACCUUGCCUCAAUUUCCUCUUUUGCUAGCAAGCUGUCAUCCCAAUCCUCAUCACCUGCCUCAGAAGCCAUGCUCCAUUUGCCCAAGGUACUCUCCACUUCUUUAUCAUUCCUAUAUUGACCUUGACGCCAUGCUUGGUUUUCUAACAUCUGGAUCCUCCGUGACUGAAUCUGAGAUUGGACCCGGACCAAGAGCUGCAUGUAUUUCAUCGCAUUCAUCGUCUGCCGCUUCACACUCUGUCCUCUUACCACUCCUUGAAGCCUCACCAGGCCCUUCAGAGCUCUAAAGCUCCUUCUUGCAAUAUAGCCUCUAUAGGCUGCUUGGAUCUUGGUGGCUGAAGCAUGGUGGUUCCUCAGAGUUGGUUCUGGUCUGUAGUAUGUCUCCUUAUGACGAAGAACAUUCUUUGGAGAAGCUGCCCUGGGGGAACGAACCCUUGGAGAUGCAGCUCUAGGGGAAGAAACUCUAGGAGAAGCAGCUCUUGGGGAGGUAACUCUUUGAGAAGGAACCCUUACAGAAGCAACUCUGGGAGGCACAAAAGGUGGUGUUUUUGGUUGCUCAGGAGAUGUGGAAGGCCUGAAAAUUAAUUUAUGCUCUCUUUCGGCCUCACCCAAAAUUUUCUCAACACUACUGGGUUCUCUAAACAGUGGAAUGAAGGUAUUUGUAUCAGCAUGCCUUAAUUUUCCUAGGCCCUUCUUCUUUUCUUUUGUGCUUUUCCUAUCUGAUUCAUUGGCUAGCUUGUCCUUGGAGUUGGGUAGAAAGACCUUCUUGAUUGUAGAAAACCAGCUCCCUCUCUUCCCCAUGUUCCUAGCAUUACUGUCUCCACCUUAUUUAAGACCCAGUUUUUGCAAAGAAACCAAAAUUAAGCAAAAGGAAGGAAAGAGCAGGAGGGGGAUCAGCAGCAGCCAGAGAAGACUCUGUCUUUAUCCUCCCUCUCCUUUCCUAUAGAACAUGCUGUCUGUUUUUUUCUUUUGUAAUUUUUCUUACAUAUAAUUCUGUUCUUGUUUAGAUUUGUUUCAAACAAAAACUCUCUCUUGUCUCUCCUUCUCUCCCUUUCUUUCUUUCUUUCUCUCACUAGGAAACUUUGAAUCAGGUUCUUGGUUUUAUGAAUUUACUUUUCUUUCCUUCCCACCUUUCACCUUUUGUUGGAUUUAUAAUUUUU
Molecule: unclassified non-coding RNA, 1177 nt
Filed under: Hevea brasiliensis (rubber tree)
Lineage: Eukaryota; Viridiplantae; Streptophyta; Magnoliopsida; Malpighiales; Euphorbiaceae
Source: RNAcentral